RNAcentral lists this small nuclear RNA (274 nucleotides) under Sorex araneus (European shrew). RNAcentral describes it as "7SK RNA (ENSSARG00000019787.1)". It matches the Rfam family "7SK RNA", at positions 1 to 290 of the family's 331-position model. Rfam says of the family: 7SK was discovered as an abundant small nuclear RNA in the mid-70s but a possible function has only recently been suggested. Two independent studies have found that 7SK RNA binds the CDK9/cyclin T complex (known as elongation factor P-TEFb). P-TEFb activates transcription by phosphorylating the C-terminal domain of RNA polymerase II. The record is from RNAcentral. Lineage: Eukaryota; Metazoa; Chordata; Mammalia; Eulipotyphla; Soricidae.
AUCUAUGAAGACAAUCUAUGAGGUCUGUCACCCUAUUAGUUUCUAGGGGUGAUUUUGGCUGAUUAAACUGAAAGACAGUUAUCCCCUUUAUCACAACCACAUGUUUGUCUUUCCAGAAGCUUCCUAUUAAGUGGAAGAGAAUGAGUUUUCUCAAUAAUAUGUGAUGACUUAGUCAAGGGUAUAUGAGCAGCUUUUUCCUCAUGCUAGCACUUACAAAAAUCUCUUAAAAAUACUUAAUUUUGAAGCUAAGAUGCAGUAUCACAUGCUUCCUUCC